AGAACAUAGUUUUUGGACAAAUUCAAGAAAUAUAACAUAGCUAUAGACCUAUAGUAGAAGAGGAAGAUGGUAAUAAUAUGGACAUCGAUAGGAUAGAUGAGAUACUUAAAGAUAUGCAAUCAGAAUUCAGCCCAAACAUUGAGGAUAAGUCGUAUAUAACGAGCCCUUAAUUUCGUUGACUAGACCGAGCCGUGGAAAUAUCUCUUCUAUCUUUUGGUUGUCAUAUUCCAAAACUAAAGCCUACCAGAAUUAUUUUUAACGGUCAUCCAAAAAGCUGCGCCAAAAAAUAACUAGUAUUUGAUUGCGCUAGCCGAAAAUAAUCCCAUUUUCGAUUGGAAGCUUCUGGCGCGUAACUCCUAAUAACUUUAGUUUCGUCGAAAAUAAACUAAUUUUGACGGAAAUAACUUAUUUUCAAUGAUCUCCGGCCAAAAAUUAUUGACUAUUUCUAUAGUAGAAGCCUGUAUCUACUAAAUCCAGUCCACGACCCACUUGGGUGGUUCACGGUGGCCCAGACUGCUGCGCCUCACCAACCAACGAGAGAGCACGAAGCACCUAGCAGCCCGGCCUUGUCGUUGUACGGUCCCACCGGCGCCGCAGCGGAAGAGAUGGAAGCUUAUGCCCCCGCCGGCAGCUACCGGCCGGUGUGCGACACGGUGGUGUUCGUCUGCCUCGCGUCCGCCUCCGCCCUCAUCGUGUUCAUGGUGGCCGUCUGCUUCCGCAACGCCUUCGCCGCCAACGGGUACGCGACCGCUGCCGUGGCCACAAACGGUGCCGCCGGAGCCACCGCUGCCAACGGCAGAAGCCGGUGCGGGCUGGCGCCGUCCGCGCUGUCGGCGAUCCCCGUGCUCGCUUACCGCCGGAGGGGCGCCGGGUGGGCGCAGUGCGCGAUCUGCCUCGCCUUGGUGCGGGACGGGGAGACGGUGCGAUUGCUGCCGGCGUGCGGCCACCUAUUCCACGUCGAGUGCAUCGACCUGUGGCUGCGCUCUCACGCAACAUGCCCGCUUUGCCGGCGUGGCGUCGUCGAGGCUCCCGUCGAAAAGAUGGUUAUUCAGCUGAACUGAGAGGCUUAUUUUGUAAGGCUGUGAGUUAUGCUUAUACUUCUAGGCUGGGUUUGGGAGCAACUAGAUCAUCAAAGACCACUUUCUCUGGUACCAGAUCUCAAUUGGAUGUUUGGCCUUGCUAAAUUUCUUUCUUUUAUCAUUAAAAAUACUUUACAAGACAGUUUGCAUAUUAGUUUUCAUGUUCUUAAUUGGUUGUGACAAUAAUCAUUCGAGAGCUGUUGCAUGUGGAAGGGCUGCCGGGUCCCGUUGGUGGCGUCGUGGCGUCAGCGUGAUUUGAGAUGAGAUUGGACCCGGCUGCGCGGUAUUCGCUGUGAAGGUAGACGGCCAUGACGACCAACACCAAGCACGCCUACAAGCUCCAGGAGUUUGUGGCGCACUCAUCCAAUGUUAACUGCCUCAAGAUCUCCAGGGACGCCGGCUGCUACAAGGUCAUCCUCGACUGCACCCCUGAGCUGCGUGCCUACUAUGCCAAGUGCGGAUUCGUGGAGAAGGGUGUCCAGAUGGUCGUCUACUUCUGAGUUCUGAUCUAGAGGUAUGCUACUUUGCAUUGAUAUGGCUCCUCUGAUUAAGUGAUGGACGAAAUGAUGUAGUUGUUCGUUGGAAAAAACAUUUAGUUUUAGUAGAGCGUCUUAGGUGGACCAAGCUUUAAGCCUACAAGAAUCAAAUGCAUCUGAUCUGAGCCAAAAGCACAAACACUCCAAACUGUAAGUGCAUAACAUUUCUUAUGUGUAGUCAGCUUGGUUUGCUGCAGGUACCUCUGUCUGAAAAUAAAAAGGGUGUAUUUGUCAUGAAAAUAAGCUUUAAUGAACUCUGUAGCUUUCAUUCAAAUAGCUUAGUUCUCUUCCUUUUUGUAGAAGCAUAUUUUUGCUACCAAAAAAGAUCUGGUAUGUUUACCCACUCUUAUGCUAUUUCUCUUGUACUCCUAAUCUCUAUGGUAUUUCUGCAGCCAUGGACUACAAUGUUGAUGAAUGCAGACUAUACCACUCUUGUUGAUUCUAUCACCACCUUGGAGUCACUACUAGAAAUUUGUAACUAUCAAGAUGUGAACCCUUAACUGGCAUUGGAGAAACAACUACAGUCAAGCUCGAGUUGUUUCUGUUUUGGGCUACUGAACAUAGAAAAUUAUAAUAUGUAGAAUUCACACAACAACAGUAGUUAAGCUUGAGCCAUGUUUGUCUUGCCCUAUGAAACACAGAAAAUGAUGCUUUUGUGAAAACAGAAAAUGAUGCCUGUGAAACCAGAUCCUUUGGGACCAUGAACAAAUUUGUUUUUGUGCAUUGUACUAGGUGAUAUGGCAGAGGUAUAACUAGGAUGGCUUGUACCUUACUACCUCCAUCCCGAAAAGAAUGCAGUUUUGUCUAUGCACCUCGACAAGCAUUCCUUUUGGGAUAGUGGUAGCUACAAGUAACGUCGUUACGAGAGAGACAGAAAGAGAGCAAGAGAGAUUUUAUUGUGCUUCCACUAUAAGGUGCACUUGCUAUCCUGAGAAUGGUUAAAUAUGAGCCACUUAAAUGAUCUUUUUCUUUUAGUACACUGUCUGAAUAGUCGUGCUACCUUCCACCAAUUCCCAUGGUAGUUUUUAGAGGUUGGCUUUGUUGUUGUUACAGGUAAUGAUACAUCUAAUCCAUUGUUUGAAUUGGUUAAGGCUUCUAUUAUGUUCUAUACUCGUGUGCUCUUGUCUGUUUAUUCUUUUGUGCUACUUUGUGCAUUUUCUUUUAAUCGGAUAUUGAUGAGAUAAUUAAGUAAAGGAAGAAAGCUAGGAUUUGCAUCUCUUGCUGUUGCCAGUGUUUGUAUGUUUAUUUCAUUUGCAUGUCUUCAUAUUGAAUUUUCAUGUUUGCUUGUUGAAUUAUGUACAUACCAAAUUUUUUCUCCUAGCUAACUACACAUUUAACUCUUAACUAUGAUAUAUAAUUGAACAUAACCUCCCUAAAGGAAAAUAUAAUGGAUAUACAUUGACGUAUAGACAUAAAUUCAAUAAAGCAAACAAUGGUCAACAAGGGAAUGAUAUUACCAUUUCAACCACUAACAAUGAUGUUUCACAAAAUUAACUAUUUUGUUGAUAUGACAAAGGUUGUUCUUCUAAAACUUUUUAUUUAUAUUUUUUUAGUUGAUCACCAGCCAAGAUUGUUUCUACAUGCAUAUGGGAAAUAAAAUCAUAGGUGUAACUGAUAAAAGACUACAGUUGCUAUCUGAAGAAAGUGGAGUAUUUAGGCCAUGUGUCUUAACGGCACUGGUUGGCUCAAGUAGUGUUGGAAGGAUGACCCAUCUUGAUGUUUUAGUUGGUAGAAAAACAGGUGGAUGUAUUGAAGGUGAUAUCAAGAUUUCUGGCAGGUUGUCAAGGGCCUAGGCGUCUAGAGCAGGGGGCCCUCGGCUACGAAGGUCGUAGCCGCGGUUCGUCGUCUUCUCCGGUGAGGUUAUACCCCUCUGCCACAGGCUUGGUUCUAGGGUAGCAGCCCUAGGCGCUUGAGAGUCAUUACAAGAGAGACAGAUUGGUUUGAUAAUAUAUUCAUCCCUUCUUUGUCUCCUGCGUACAGGCAUAUAUAUAGGCCACCGGUUGACCAACUAGGCAACCACUAAUUAGGCAAGUGACUAAUUGGAAUUAUAUCCCCUACAAUUUAGGUCUAUCAAUUUAGCCACCAAAUCAGUCACUUUGCUUUGCCAUGCCUUCCUUGCGCGCGUUUUCCUUUGCCAUGCCUUCCUUGUACGCGCUGCUGCCAGCGCCCCCUGCGGCCUCUCGCUUUUGGCGCGCAUAGGUGCGGCCCCACAUGAGUGACCGCUCUCUAUGAUGCCCAUGACAUCUCCCCCUCCCUUGAGAACCAGCUCGUCCUCGAGCUGCCAUAGA
Molecule: RNA transcript, 3903 nt
Organism: Zea mays
Lineage: Eukaryota; Viridiplantae; Streptophyta; Magnoliopsida; Poales; Poaceae
Gene name: E3 ubiquitin-protein ligase EL5
Exons: 3
Source: RefSeq, a predicted model, not a curated record